This 107-nucleotide small nuclear RNA is filed under the name Myotis davidii. Lineage: Eukaryota; Metazoa; Chordata; Mammalia; Chiroptera; Vespertilionidae. The record is from RNAcentral.
GUGCUCGCUUCGGCAGCACAUAUACUAAAAUUGGAACGAUACAGAGAAGAUUAACAUGGCCCCUGUGCAAGAAUUACUGGUCUUUUUAGGAUCUACAACUUUCAGUA